GACGAACGCUGGCGGCGUGCUUAACACAUGCAAGUCGAACGAGAGUAUUGAAGAAGCUUGCUUUAGAGAUACUUUAGUGGCGGACGGGUGAGUAACGCGUGAGGAGCUGUCCAAUGCAGGGGGACAACAGUUGGAAACGACUGCUAAUACCCCAUAAGCCGAGAGGUAAAAGGAUUUAUCCGGCAAUGGAGGUACUCGCGUCCUAUCAGCUAGUAGGUGAGGUAACGGCUCACCUAGGCGAAGACGGGUAGCCGGCCUGAGAGGGCGAACGGCCACACUGGAACUGAGACACGGUCCAGACUCCUACGGGAGGCAGCAGUGGGGAAUAUUGCACAAUGGGCGCAAGCCUGAUGCAGCCAUGCCGCGUGUAUGAAGAAGGCCUUCGGGUUGUAAAGUACUUUCAGCGGGGAGGAAGGGAGUAAAGUUAAUACCUUUGCUCAUUGACGUUACCCGCAGAAGAAGCACCGGCUAACUCCGUGCCAGCAGCCGCGGUAA
RNAcentral lists this ribosomal RNA (495 nucleotides) under uncultured bacterium. RNAcentral's name for it is "partial 16S ribosomal RNA". It matches the Rfam family "Bacterial small subunit ribosomal RNA", at positions 28 to 523 of the family's 1533-position model. The record is from RNAcentral.